CAGUCGCCGCGGUAAUACGUAGGUGGCAAGCGUUGUCCGGAAUUAUUGGGCGUAAAGGGCUCGCAGGCGGUUUCUUAAGUCUGAUGUGAAAGCCCCCGGCUCAACCGGGGAGGGUCAUUGGAAACUGGGAAACUUGAGUGCAGAAGAGGAGAGUGGAAUUCCACGUGUAGCGGUGAAAUGCGUAGAGAUGUGGAGGAACACCAGUGGCGAAGGCAACUCUCUGGUCUGUAACUGACGCUGAGGAGCGAAAGCGUGGGGAGCGAACAGGAUUAGAUACCCGUGUAGUCCCUGUCUCUUAUAC
Molecule: ribosomal RNA, 301 nt
Filed under: uncultured bacterium
Lineage: Bacteria
Description: partial 16S ribosomal RNA
Rfam family: Bacterial small subunit ribosomal RNA
Source: RNAcentral